RNAcentral lists this non-coding RNA (90 nucleotides) under Pontibacillus marinus. RNAcentral's name for it is "c-di-GMP sequence". It matches the Rfam family "c-di-GMP-I riboswitch aptamer". Rfam says of the family: GEMM was predicted in a large-scale screen for bacterial structured RNA regulatory elements. Genes associated with GEMM are involved in a diverse array of functions, including chemotaxis regulation, signal transduction, secretion and chitin. Lineage: Bacteria; Bacillati; Bacillota; Bacilli; Caryophanales; Bacillaceae. The record is from RNAcentral.
AACUGAAAAUGGCAAACCUAUCGAAAGAUAGGGACGCAAAGCCACGAGUCUAAAGUCCUUGUAUAGGAAUAGGAUCGUCGGGCUUCCAGG